UACGUAGGGUGCAAGCGUUAAUCGGAAUUACUGGGCGUAAAGCGUGCGUAGGCGGUUGCGCAAGACAGGUGUGAAAUCCCAGGGCUUAACCUUGGAAUUGCACUUGUGACUGUGCGGCUCGAGUGCGGCAGAGGGGGAUGGAAUUCCGCGUGUAGCAGUGAAAUGCGUAGAUAUGCGGAGGAACACCGAUGGCGAAGGCAGUCCCCUGGGCCUGCACUGACGCUCAUGCACGAAAGCGUGGGGAGCAAACAGG
Molecule: ribosomal RNA, 253 nt
Filed under: uncultured bacterium
Lineage: Bacteria
Description: partial 16S ribosomal RNA
Rfam family: Bacterial small subunit ribosomal RNA
Source: RNAcentral